UAGACACAAGAAUGUUUAACCUGAGUGAG
This 29-nucleotide non-coding RNA is filed under the name Rattus norvegicus (Norway rat). The record is from RNAcentral. Lineage: Eukaryota; Metazoa; Chordata; Mammalia; Rodentia; Muridae.